AAUUUCAGUUUCUGUCCCAAGCUUUAUUAUUUCUGUUACCUUAUUCCCUUCUCCACCAUGGGUCUUCCUGUGUGUCAGGAUUUUUUAUUCUGGCAAUUAACCGUGGAGAAAAUUUGAAGGUACUGACGGUUAAGGUCAAUAUUUCUGAUGGAGUGAAGGAUGAAUUCUGUAGGUGGUGCAUCCAAAACAGGUGGAGACCACGUAGCUUUGCAAGGCCAGAGUUAAUGAAGAUCUUAUAUAAUUCACUGAAUGAUUCCUUUAAACGCCUUAUUUAUCCUCUUCUCUGUAGAGAAUUCAGAGCCAAACUAACAUCAGAUGCAGAGAAGGAAUCAGUAAUGAUGUUUGGACGGAACCUUCGUCAGCUCCUUUUAACAAGCCCUGUUCCAGGGCGCACCUUAAUGGGAGUGGAUCCUGGUUAUAAACAUGGUUGCAAAUUAGCUAUAAUUUCUCCUACUAGUCAGAUACUUCAUACUGAUGUGGUUUACUUGCAUUGUGGACAAGGCUUCCGAGAGGCGGAGAAAAUAAAGACACUUUUGCUGAAUUUCAACUGCAGCACAGUAGUGAUUGGAAAUGGAACUGCCUGCAGGGAAACAGAAGCUUACUUUGCUGACCUGAUAAUGAAGAAUUAUUUUGCACCACUGGAUGUUGUUUACUG
This 655-nucleotide long non-coding RNA is filed under the name Homo sapiens (human). RNAcentral's name for it is "non-protein coding lnc-SIX2-8:1". Lineage: Eukaryota; Metazoa; Chordata; Mammalia; Primates; Hominidae. The record is from RNAcentral.